RNAcentral lists this ribosomal RNA (253 nucleotides) under uncultured bacterium. RNAcentral's name for it is "partial 16S ribosomal RNA". It matches the Rfam family "Bacterial small subunit ribosomal RNA", at positions 524 to 776 of the family's 1533-position model. The record is from RNAcentral.
UACAGAGACUGCAAGCGUUAUUCGGAUUCACUGGGCGUAAAGGGUGCGCAGGUGGCCGAGUGUGUUAGGCGUGAAAGCCCGGGGCUUAACCGGGGAACUGCGUCUGAUACUGGGUGGCUUGAAUUCGGGAGAGGGAUGCGGAAUUCCAGGUGUAGCGGUGAAAUGCGUAGAUAUCUGGAGGAACACCGGUGGCGAAGGCGGCAUCCUGGACCGAGAUUGACGCUGAGGCGCGAAAGCCAGGGGAGCAAACGGG